GUGGGGAAUAUUGCACAAUGGGGGAAACCCUGAUGCAGCAACGCCGCGUGAGUGAUGAAGGCCUUCGGGUUGUAAAGCUCUGUCUUUGGGGACGAUAAUGACGGUACCCAAGGAGGAAGCCACGGCUAACUACGUGCCAGCAGCCGCGGUAAUACGUAGGUGGCAAGCGUUGUCCGGAUUUACUGGGCGUAAAGGGAGCGUAGGCGGACUUUUAAGUGGGAUGUGAAAUACUCGGGCUCAACCUGAGUGCUGCAUUCCAAACUGGAAGUCUAGAGUGCAGGAGGGGAAAGUGGAAUUCCUAGUGUAGCGGUGAAAUGCGUAGAUAUUAGGAAGAACACCGGUGGCGAAGGCGACUUUCUGGACUGUAACUGACGCUGAGGCUCGAAAGCGUGGGGAGCGAACAGGAUUAGAAACCCUAGUAGUCC
Molecule: ribosomal RNA, 425 nt
Filed under: uncultured bacterium
Lineage: Bacteria
Description: bacterial SSU rRNA
Rfam family: Bacterial small subunit ribosomal RNA
Source: RNAcentral